UAGGGAAUCUUCCGCAAUGGGCGAAAGCUUGACGGAGCAACGCCGCGUGGGUGAUGAAGGUCUUCGGUUCGUAAAACUCUGUUAUUAGGGAAGAACAAAUGUGUAAGUAACUAUGCACGUCUUGACGGUACCUAAUCAGAAAGCCACGGCUAACUACGUGCCAGCAGCCGCGGUAAUACGUAGGUGGCAAGCGUUAUCCGGAAUUAUUGGGCGUAAAGCGCGCGUAGGCGGUUUUUUAAGUCUGAUGUGAAAGCCCACGGCUCAACCGUGGAGGGUCAUUGGAAACUGGAAAACUUGAGUGCAGAAGAGGAAGGUGGAAUUCCAUGUGUAGCGGUGAAAUACGCAGAGAUAUGGAGGAACACCAGUGGCGAAGACGACUUUCUGGUCUGUAACUGACGCUGAUGUGCGAAAGCGUGGGGAUCAAACAGG
This 429-nucleotide ribosomal RNA is filed under the name Actinomycetes bacterium. RNAcentral's name for it is "Actinobacteria bacterium partial 16S ribosomal RNA". It matches the Rfam family "Bacterial small subunit ribosomal RNA", at positions 355 to 776 of the family's 1533-position model. The record is from RNAcentral. Lineage: Bacteria; Bacillati; Actinomycetota; Actinomycetes.